Non-coding RNA from Zootermopsis nevadensis, 696 nucleotides. The record is from RefSeq and is a predicted model, not a curated record. NCBI's taxonomy places the organism in Eukaryota, Metazoa, Arthropoda, Insecta, Blattodea, Termopsidae.
ACGUUUACAUAUAUCGAAGACCAGAGGCCGGUCUGGAUGAAAUGGUUGGCUGGUGGGAGUUUUGCAGCUCUGGUGUUUAUUGCAGUAAUUUUAUUGGUCACGGCGCUCAGAAGAAAAUUCAAAAAACCAUCAAAAUCUAUAAUAUCGCCGCCUUCCACAGACAAAUGUGAUAGAUCAUUUAGCCCGGAAUGUACAGAUUCCUCGACCGAUGAAUCCGUCUCGAUCUGCAAACCUCUCAGACGGAGUCCAAGAUUAAUACACCUCACCAGAUGCACUGCUUGUACGACCUCAUCGCCAUCACCAUCGUCAUCAAAAUCAUUGUUAACCGAGAAGUCAUCAACAACGCUGAAAAAUACGAAAAUACCUCGUAGACGACAAUCAAAUUUAAGAAGGGAAUUUCAUGACACCAAAUUCUUGAAAGGAGAGCCAAAUGUCAGGGGCCCAGUAAGGGCCAAGAAGGCACCUCCCACGUUGAUCUUACGGAGCCCAAAGAGUUAGAAGGUCUGAGCAGCUAAGCGACUGUUGCGGUGAACGCGCUCGCGUAUUGGACUGAGGCCCAUUUCAAGCCACUACAGCGUCCAUCACAUCGGGAGUGAGUGAGGCUGAGAUAUCGCGAGCUCCACUGGCACUUGGUGAAGUUUUAAUUUUAUCAAAUUUCUUCAAAAUGAAAUUCAAUAAAGAUCUGUUGUAUGGACA